CGGCAAGUCCUACACAACUAGCUCCUAAUUAAUCCUCCAGAACGGGAACGUAGCAAAGGUAUUUAGUUGUAGCAGUGUGAUGUAGGUAGCUUGCCAUUU
Molecule: signal recognition particle RNA, 99 nt
Filed under: Flavobacteriaceae bacterium
Lineage: Bacteria; Pseudomonadati; Bacteroidota; Flavobacteriia; Flavobacteriales; Flavobacteriaceae
Also listed under: 1 other name
Description: signal recognition particle sRNA small type
Rfam family: Bacteroidales small SRP
About the family: The non-coding component of the signal recognition particle in Bacteroides
Source: RNAcentral